Molecule: ribosomal RNA, 831 nt
Filed under: Acinetobacter sp.
Lineage: Bacteria; Pseudomonadati; Pseudomonadota; Gammaproteobacteria; Moraxellales; Moraxellaceae
Description: bacterial SSU rRNA
Rfam family: Bacterial small subunit ribosomal RNA
Source: RNAcentral
GGCUUAACACAUGCAAGUCGAGCGGAUGAAGGUAGCUUGCUACUGGAUUCAGCGGCGGACGGGUGAGUAAUGCUUAGGAAUCUGCCUAUUAGUGGGGGACAACGUUCCGAAAGGAGCGCUAAUACCGCAUACGUCCUACGGGAGAAAGCAGGGGACCUUUGGGCCUUGCGCUAAUAGAUGAGCCUAAGUCGGAUUAGCUAGUUGGUAGGGUAAAGGCCUACCAAGGCGACGAUCUGUAGCGGGUCUGAGAGGAUGAUCCGCCACACUGGGACUGAGACACGGCCCAGACUCCUACGGGAGGCAGCAGUGGGGAAUAUUGGACAAUGGGGGGAACCCUGAUCCAGCCAUGCCGCGUGUGUGAAGAAGGCCUUUUGGUUGUAAAGCACUUUAAGCGAGGAGGAGGCUACCUAGAUUAAUACUUUAGGAUAGUGGACGUUACUCGCAGAAUAAGCACCGGCUAACUCUGUGCCAGCAGCCGCGGUAAUACAGAGGGUGCGAGCGUUAAUCGGAUUUACUGGGCGUAAAGCGUGCGUAGGCGGCCAAUUAAGUCAAAUGUGAAAUCCCCGAGCUUAACUUGGGAAUUGCAUUCGAUACUGGUUGGCUAGAGUAUGGGAGAGGAUGGUAGAAUUCCAGGUGUAGCGGUGAAAUGCGUAGAGAUCUGGAGGAAUACCGAUGGCGAAGGCAGCCAUCUGGCCUAAUACUGACGCUGAGGUACGAAAGCAUGGGGAGCAAACAGGAUUAGAUACCCUGGUAGUCCAUGCCGUAAACGAUGUCUACUAGCCGUUGGGGCCCUUGAGGCUUUAGUGUCGCAGCUAACGCGAUAAGUAGACC